RNAcentral lists this ribosomal RNA (366 nucleotides) under Triticum aestivum (bread wheat). RNAcentral describes it as "partial small subunit ribosomal RNA". The record is from RNAcentral. Lineage: Eukaryota; Viridiplantae; Streptophyta; Magnoliopsida; Poales; Poaceae.
AUGCUCGCUGCUGCCGACGCCGUCUCCGCCGCUCCCCCGCCUCGAGCCAGCUGCCGCCAUGGAGCCUCCGCUCCCCCGCCUCGAGCCACCCCGCACCUCGUCCGUCUCCUCUCCUCCCUCUCACUCGUCUCCUCUCCCGCACCGCCAGCCCCUUCUCUCUCCUCGCCCCAGACAUCUCUCUCCUCCCCCACGCAAGCCAGCUCCGGACCUGGAGGAAGAGGAGAGAUGCGGGACCUGGAGGAUGAAGAGGAGAUCCAGGCGUCCCGGCGGUGGCUCGACCGAUGCAUCACUUAUUUUAGAGCGCUAUCCAUGGAUUUGUUGUCUUGUUUGCUUCUGUUCUUGUGUGCUCUAAAAAAGACAACCUGA